GGCCUGUUAGCUCAGUUGGUUAGAGCGUCGCGAAGGUCGCAGGUUCGAGACCUGCAUGGGCCA
This 63-nucleotide transfer RNA is filed under the name Macleaya cordata. It matches the Rfam family "tRNA". From Rfam's summary of the family: Transfer RNA (tRNA) molecules are approximately 80 nucleotides in length. Their secondary structure includes four short double-helical elements and three loops (D, anti-codon, and T loops). Lineage: Eukaryota; Viridiplantae; Streptophyta; Magnoliopsida; Ranunculales; Papaveraceae. The record is from Rfam by way of RNAcentral.